Molecule: ribosomal RNA, 107 nt
Filed under: uncultured bacterium
Lineage: Bacteria
Description: partial 16S ribosomal RNA
Rfam family: Bacterial small subunit ribosomal RNA
Source: RNAcentral
GGGACCUUCGGGCCUUGCGCUAUCAGAUGGAGCCUAGGUCGGAUUAGCUAGUUGGUGGGGUAUGGCUCACCAAGGCGACGAUCCGUAACUGGUCUGAGAGGAUGAUC